This 432-nucleotide ribosomal RNA is filed under the name uncultured bacterium. Its description in RNAcentral is "partial 16S ribosomal RNA". It matches the Rfam family "Bacterial small subunit ribosomal RNA", at positions 29 to 506 of the family's 1533-position model. The record is from RNAcentral.
AACGAACGCUGGCGGCAUGCCUAACACAUGCAAGUCGAACGAGACCUUCGGGUCUAGUGGCGCACGGGUGCGUAACGCGUGGGAACCUGCCCUUAGGUUCGGAAUAACUCCCCGAAAGGGGUGCUAAUACCGGAUAAUGUCUUCGGACCAAAGAUUUAUCGCCUUUGGAUGGGCCCGCGUUGGAUUAGCUAGUUGGUAGGGUAAAAGCCUACCAAGGCGACGAUCCAUAGCUGGUCUGAGAGGAUGAUCAGCCACACUGGGACUGCGACACGGCCCAGACUCCUACGGGAGGCAGCAGUGGGGAAUAUUGGACAAUGGGCGAAAGCCUGAUCCAGCAAUGCCGCGUGAGUGAUGAAGGCCUUAGGGUUGUAAAGCUCUUUUACCCGGGAUGAUAAUGACAGUACCGGGAGAAUAAGCUCCGGCUAACUCCGU